UGAGGAAUAUUGGGCAAUGCCCGCAAGGGUGACCCAGCAACGCCGCGUGGAGGAUGAAUGUCGUAAGAUUGUAAACUCCUGUUAGAGGGGAAGAAUAGUACCGGUUGGACCGGUAUAUGACUGUACCCUCAGAGAAAGCCCCGGCUAACUACGUGCCAGCAGCCGCGGUAAUACGUAGGGGGCAAGCGUUGUCCGGAUUUACUGGGUGUAACGGGCGCGCAGGCGGGAUAAAAAGUCAGUGGUGAAAUCCUACAGCUUAACUGUAGAACUGCCUUUGAUACUUUUAUUCUUGAGUUCGGGAGAGAGAGACGGAAUUCCAGGUGUAGUGGUGAAAUACGUAGAUAUCUGGAAGAACACCAGUUGCGAAGGCGGUCUCUUGGUCCGACACUGACGCUGAGGCGCGAAAGCGUGGGGAGCAA
RNAcentral lists this ribosomal RNA (419 nucleotides) under uncultured bacterium. RNAcentral describes it as "bacterial SSU rRNA". It matches the Rfam family "Bacterial small subunit ribosomal RNA", at positions 355 to 771 of the family's 1533-position model. The record is from RNAcentral.